AGUGAACGCUGGCGGUAGGCCUAACACAUGCAAGUCGAACGGCAGCACAGUAAGAGCUUGCUCUUACGGGUGGCGAGUGGCGGACGGGUGAGGAAUACAUCGGAAUCUACUUUUUCGUGGGGGAUAACGUAGGGAAACUUACGCUAAUACCGCAUACGACCUACGGGUGAAAGCAGGGGAUCUUCGGACCUUGCGCGAUUGAAUGAGCCGAUGUCGGAUUAGCUAGUUGGCGGGGUAAAGGCCCACCAAGGCGACGAUCCGUAGCUGGUCUGAGAGGAUGAUCAGCCACACUGGAACUGAGACACGGUCCAGACUCCUACGGGAGGCAGCAGUGGGGAAUAUUGGACAAUGGGCGCAAGCCUGAUCCAGCCAUACCGCGUGGGUGAAGAAGGCCUUCGGGUUGUAAAGCCCUUUUGUUGGGAAAGAAAAGCAGCAGGUUAAUACCCCGCUGCUCUGACGGUACCCAAAGAAUAAGCACCGACUAACUUCGUG
RNAcentral lists this ribosomal RNA (492 nucleotides) under uncultured bacterium. RNAcentral describes it as "partial 16S ribosomal RNA". It matches the Rfam family "Bacterial small subunit ribosomal RNA", at positions 29 to 507 of the family's 1533-position model. The record is from RNAcentral.